This is a long non-coding RNA of Engraulis encrasicolus (European anchovy), 779 nucleotides long. RefSeq lists it as uncharacterized. The record is from RefSeq and is a predicted model, not a curated record. Lineage: Eukaryota; Metazoa; Chordata; Actinopteri; Clupeiformes; Engraulidae. The transcript has 3 exons.
CCCCUCUGCAUCAGGGGCUGGGCCCACUGGCUUUGUCAUUUCUCCCGUUAAGGGACACUGACUCCUUCGAGUCAGUUUUAAUUCAUGGUUGUAAAAUUCCAUGGUGAACACCAUGGUGGCCUUGAGUUUGUCGUCGGGGCGACGACAAGCAAUGGGGGGGUGGAUUGUAGCAGGUGACACUUUCUGCUACCUCGCUGUGCCCUUCCCAGCUACCUCCAGUAACAAGGAGGUGGGGCGACUACAGGGCAAUUAACCAAUGGGCACAAGAUGCAUCUUUUAAAAACCCUGAGCCAACAGCAUGGUAGUUCCUGCUGCUUUGGUGUGUGUGCCAGACUGGCCACUUUGGCCACACACAUGGGCCUCAGGCUAAGGCCUAGCUUUGAUGUAGCCAUCUUGGGCCUGCUUACAGGUAGCAUGGCCUUUAAUCCUGUACUGCUCCCAGUGUAGGUCGUGCUGCUGUCUUGUCUUGACCUUGUGUUUCUUUUGAUUUAGUCUUUAAUGUACUGUUUGUCUGUUUUUGUUUCAUUUUAGUUUGUCUACUCCCCAAGGUAGUCCAUUUAAUCUGGCAGGCCAGGAGCAUUAGCUUUUAAAGGGUGGCUGGUCAGUCAUACUAGUGUGGUGCAUCUUGCACUUGGUUGCUGUGUCACUCAGAAUGUUUGCUGUGGACUACUAAGUCAUGGGUUGCUGUGGUUAUUAUACACAUUCCAGUAGUAUGCCCCCUUAAGCACUGUGAGCUCCUGCCUUGCUCUUGCCCUAAAUAAAAAGAACUACUUUUUGUG